UACUGGUUGAUCCUGCCAGUAGUCAUAUGCUUGUCUCAGAGAUUAAGCCAUGCAUGUCCAAGUACAUACUUUUAAACAGUGAAACCGCGAAUGGCUCAUUAAAUCAGCUAUGGUUCCUUAGAUCAUACGCACGUUAUAUGGAUAACUGUAGUAAUUCUAGAGCUAAUACAUGCCUCGAUGCCCUGACCUGCGAAGGAAUGGGUGCAUUUAUUAGAACAGAACCAAUCGAGUGUGGCUUCGGCUAUGCUUGUUGUAAACUGUGAUGACUCUGGAUAACUUAAUUGAUCGCAGCGACUUUAAGUCGGCGACGUAUCUUUCAAAUAUCUGCCCUAUCAAUUGGAUGGUAAGUGACCUGCCUACCAUGAUUAUAACGGGUAACGGGGAAUCAGGGUUCGAUUCCGGAGAGGGAGCCUGAGAAAUGGCUACCACAUCUAAGGAUGGCAGCAGGCGCGAAAAUUACCCACUUUCGGCAAGGAGAGGUAGUGACGAAAAAUACGGAUGCGGGACUCUUUCGAGGCUCCGUAAUCCGAAUGAGUACAAUUUAAAACCUUUAACGAGGACCAAUUGGAGGGCAAGUCUGGUGCCAGCAGCCGCGGUAACUCCAGCUCCAAAAGCGUAUAUUAAAGUUGCUGCAGUUAAAAAGCUCGUAGUUGGAUCUGGGUGGUGUGAUUGCAUGCCGCUUCUCGUUCUCCCGAUUUGGUUACGAUCAGAGAGGGGGUUCGGGUCGGUGCAGUAGUUGUGCAGCCUUUCAGCCGUGUCUGUGUAAACAGGUGUCGAUGGGCCGUGGGUUAGCUCAUUGGUCUGUCGGCAUGUUUUUGGUGCCCUUAACCGGGUGUUGAGAACGGACGGCAUCUUUACUUUGAACAAAUUUGAGUGCUUAAAGCAGGCCACUGUGCCUGAAAAUUCUUGCAUGGAAUAAUGGAAUAGGACUUCGGUUCUAUUUUGUUGGUUUUCGGAUCCGAAGUAAUGGUUAAGAGGGACAGACGGGGGCAUUUGUAUGGCGGUGUUAGAGGUGAAAUUCUGAGAUCGCCGCCAGACAAACUACAGCGAAAGCAUUUGCCAAGAAUGUUUUCAUUGAUUAAGAGCGAAAGUCAGAGUUCCGAAGACGAUCAGAUACCGUCGUAGUUCUGACCAUAAACGAUGCCAACUGACGAUCCGUGGUGGUUCAAAAAAUGUCCCCGCGGGCAGUCUCCGGGAAACCCUUAAGUUUUUGGGCUCCGGGGGAAGUAUGGUUGCAAAGCUGAAACUUAAAGGAAUUGACGGAAGGGCACCACCAGGAGUGGAGCCUGCGGCUUAAUUCGACUCAACACGGGAAAACUCACCCGGCCCGGACACUGUGAGGAUUGACAGAUUGAUAGCUCUUUCUUGAUUCGGUGGUUGGUGGUGCAUGGCCGUUCUUAGUUGGUGGAGCGAUUUGUCUGGUUAAUUCCGAUAACGAACGAGACUUUAACCUAUUAAAUAGUACGCUCGUCCUCUGUGCUCGUUUAGGUUGUGGCUUGUACUGCUUCCACGUGAAGUGGUCGGGUCAUUGGCCGGCGGGUGCGGUGCGGGUGUUUACUUCUUAGAGGGACAAGCGGCGUCCUAAAUAGCCGCACGAAAUUGAGCAAUAACAGGUCUGUGAUGCCCUUAGAUGUCCGGGGCUGCACGUGCGCUACAAUGACGGUGGCAGCGAGUAUGGAAACCUGGCCUGAAAGGGCUGGGCAAACUGUUUCAUCACCGUCGUGACUGGGAUUGGGGCUUGUAAUUGUUCCCCAUGAACGAGGAAUUCCUGGUAAGUGCAAGUCAUAAGCUUGCGCUGAUUACGUCCCUGCCCUUUGUACACACCGCCCGUCGCUACUACCGAUUGAAUGGUUUAGUGAAGUUGUUGGAUUGGCCCAUUGUUUCGGCAAUUGUCGUUCCAUUGGUGCUAAAAAGAUGACUGAACUUGACUAUUAGAGGAAGUAAAAGUCGUAACAGA
Molecule: ribosomal RNA, 1957 nt
Filed under: Neoparacardicola nasonis
Lineage: Eukaryota; Metazoa; Platyhelminthes; Trematoda; Strigeidida; Aporocotylidae
Description: SSU rRNA
Rfam family: Eukaryotic small subunit ribosomal RNA
Source: RNAcentral